Molecule: ribosomal RNA, 577 nt
Filed under: uncultured bacterium
Lineage: Bacteria
Description: partial 16S ribosomal RNA
Rfam family: Bacterial small subunit ribosomal RNA
Source: RNAcentral
UGGGAAUUUUGGACAAUGGGCGCAAGCCUGAUCCAGCCAUGCCGCGUGCGGGAAGAAGGCCUUCGGGUUGUAAACCGCUUUUGUCAGGGAAGAAAUCUUCUGAGUUAAUACCUCGGGAGGAUGACGGUACCUGAAGAAUAAGCACCGGCUAACUACGUGCCAGCAGCCGCGGUAAUACGUAGGGUGCAAGCGUUAAUCGGAAUUACUGGGCGUAAAGCGUGCGCAGGCGGUUUUGUAAGACAGAGGUGAAAUCCCCGGGCUCAACCUGGGAACUGCCUUUGUGACUGCAAGGCUUGAGUGCGGCAGAGGGGGAUGGAAUUCCGCGUGUAGCAGUGAAAUGCGUAGAUAUGCGGAGGAACGCCGAUGGCGAAGGCGAUCCCCUGGGCCUGCACUGACGCUCAUGCACGAAAGCGUGGGGAGCAAACAGGAUUAGAUAGCCCUGGUAGUCCACGCCCUAAACGAUGUCAACUGGUUGUUGGGAAGGUUCCUUCUCAGUAACGUAGCUAACGCGUGAAGUUGACCGCCUGGGGAGUACGGCCGCAAGGUUGAAACUUAAAGGAAUUGACGGGGUCAUAGC